This 410-nucleotide ribosomal RNA is filed under the name Acidobacteriota bacterium. Its description in RNAcentral is "Acidobacteria bacterium partial 16S ribosomal RNA". It matches the Rfam family "Bacterial small subunit ribosomal RNA", at positions 355 to 776 of the family's 1533-position model. Lineage: Bacteria; Pseudomonadati; Acidobacteriota. The record is from RNAcentral.
UCGAGAAUCAUUCACAAUGGGGGAAACCCUGAUGGUGCGACGCCGCGUGGGGGAAUGAAGGUCUUCGGAUUGUAAACGCCUGUCAUGUGGGAGCAAAUUAAAAAGAUAGUACCACAAGAGGAAGAGACGGCUAACUCUGUGCCAGCAGCCGCGGUAAUACAGAGGUCUCAAGCGUUGUUCGGAAUCACUGGGCGUAAAGCGUGCGUAGGCGGUUUCGUAAGUCGUGUGUGAAAGGCGGGGGCUCAACCCCCGGACUGCACAUGAUACUGCGAGACUAGAGUAAUGGAGGGGGAACCGGAAUUCUCGGUGUAGCAGUGAAAUGCGUAGAUAUCGAGAGGAACACUCGUGGCGAAGGCGGGUUCCUGGACAUUAACUGACGCUGAGGCACGAAGGCCAGGGGAGCGAAAGGG